GCUCAUUAAAUCAGUUAUCGUUUAUUUGAUAGUACCUUACUACUUGGAUAACCGUGGUAAUUCUAGAGCUAAUACAUGCUAAAAACCUCGACUUCGGAAGGGGUGUAUUUAUUAGAUAAAAAACCAAUGCCCUUCGGGGCUCCUUGGUGAUUCAUAAUAACUUAACGAAUCGCAUGGCCUUGUGCCGGCGAUGGUUCAUUCAAAUUUCUGCCCUAUCAACUUUCGAUGGUAGGAUAGUGGCCUACCAUGGUUUCAACGGGUAACGGGGAAUUAGGGUUCUAUUCCGGAGAGGGAGCCUGAGAAACGGCUACCACAUCCAAGGAAGGCAGCAGGCGCGCAAAUUACCCAAUCCCGACACGGGGAGGUAGUGACAAUAAAUACUGAUACAGGGCUCUUUUGGGUCUUGUAAUUGGAAUGAGUACAAUUUAAAUCCCUUAACGAGGAACAAUUGGAGGGCAAGUCUGGUGCCAGCAGCCGCGGUAAUUCCAGCUCCAAUAGCGUAUAUUAAAGUUGUUGCAGUUAAAAAGCUCGUAGUUGAACCUUGGGCCUGGCUGGCCGGUCCGCCUCACCGCGUGCACUGGUCCGGCCGGGUCUUUCCUUCUGGGGAGCCGCAUGCCCUUCACUGGGUGUGUCGGGGAACCAGGACUUUUACUUUGAAAAAAUUAGAGUGUUCAAAGCAGGCCUAUGCUCGAAUACAUUAGCAUGGAAUAAUAGAAUAGGACGUGUGGUUCUAUUUUGUUGGUUUCUAGGACCGCCGUAAUGAUUAAUAGGGAUAGUCGGGGGCAUCAGUAUUCAAUUGUCAGAGGUGAAAUUCUUGGAUUUAUUGAAGACUAACUACUGCGAAAGCAUUUGCCAAGGAUGUUUUCAUUAAUCAGUGAACGAAAGUUAGGGGAUCGAAGACGAUCAGAUACCGUCGUAGUCUUAACCAUAAACUAUGCCGACUAGGGAUCGGGCGAUGUUAU
This 962-nucleotide ribosomal RNA is filed under the name Darkera picea. Its description in RNAcentral is "SSU rRNA". It matches the Rfam family "Eukaryotic small subunit ribosomal RNA", at positions 96 to 1066 of the family's 1831-position model. Lineage: Eukaryota; Fungi; Ascomycota; Leotiomycetes; Phacidiales; Phacidiaceae. The record is from RNAcentral.